Molecule: transfer RNA, 63 nt
Filed under: bovine gut metagenome
Rfam family: tRNA
About the family: Transfer RNA (tRNA) molecules are approximately 80 nucleotides in length.
Source: RNAcentral
UGUAGCUCAGUUGGAUAGAGUGUUGGUCUCCGAAGCCAAAGGUCACGGGUUCGACUCCCGUCA